Molecule: long non-coding RNA, 1570 nt
Organism: Gallus gallus (chicken)
Lineage: Eukaryota; Metazoa; Chordata; Aves; Galliformes; Phasianidae
Exons: 2
Source: RefSeq, a predicted model, not a curated record
ACGCUGGGAGGGGAGCUGCUUGCUAACACCUAGCAGCUAACUCUCAUCUCUGGAGUCUUCAUGCCCCUUCAUCUGGGAAGCAGACUGCUGCCUGCCCACCUCCAGCAUUAAUUUCCAAAUGAAAUCCCAUAUUUGUUCUCCUGUGGGAAGAGAAAAGAACAGAAAGACCUUCAGAGUUGCUGGCAAUCAAAUACUCUUUCAUUGAAUCGGCUCAGAUCAACAUCCUCAUAACAUUACAGCAACUUCUCCCACAAAAGUCAGAAUCUGAGCCUGAGGAGUACAUAUACCUCCCUGAAUCCCAUGUCCUGCACUAUGAUAUCACAGAAGAGUAGCUUAGUACAGGAAAUAGGAAAUGUGGAUUUUGUCAGCCACACUGCAAAGCUGCAAUUUUACUUUCUUCAGCAUUUCUCCUUGGCUUAGCCAGCAUUUCAUCCAUUUUCACAGUCAAAGCAUGCACCCAACAGAAAACAAAGAUGAAAAGAAAAGAAUAAAAAGGAGGAAAUCACAACACACGUUUGAGAAAGAGUUGAGGAUUGAAAGCCUAUCAGUCCGGUUCUUUAUGACGACUUUCACCUUCACCCGUAUUCUUCUUUACCGCUUGAAUGGGGCUCCUGGACAAAAGAAAUAUUUGAACUCGGACACUCCUGUGUGGUUACAACAUGCCUAAGGUACAUGGGGAUUCUCUGUGGCAUUUAGCAUACUGGAGGCAGUUGGUGCAGCAACAUAAAAGCCAGUUCCCACAUGAGAACAAGUUGCUGUAUUUCCAGAUCUGCGUUACAUCCCACUGAUCAUCUUACCAUUCCAGAAGGCAACCAAUGGCCACUGGGCAAAGACGACCUGACUGGCACGUGUGACAAUAUCUGCUUACAAGCUUUGUUUACUUCACAAUUUCAGAGCCACAAAGGCACAGGUCUUAGGAAUUUUUUUUUUUUUCCUAAGGUCUUAGAAAAAAAUAAUACAAAAAUCCCCCUUAUGUUCCAGAGCUGGAGCUUUAUGUUUGGCUGAAAACAAAGUUCCUUAUCCGAAUAGAUAAAAACUAACAUUGUAAACAAUCUAAACAGAAACUGAAGAGACAGUCACACAAACCUGAGGCAACAGCUCUGAGCUGUGAGUUUUUACAGUCUGGAGCCAAAUCCAAUUUAAACAUUUACUUUUUCAACUCUAUCAUUACUGACCACAUUAACAGAAAUACUCUGCUGUGUGCUGUUUAAAUUUGCCCUCUACAACUUCACAAGUAUCAAAACCUACAACCAAAAGGAGAAACUUCUCAAAAUUUUGAAGAUGUGACAAAGAAUUCAGAGAUUUUACAAUGAGGACACAACCAUUCUCUUCAGAAUCUAGGAUAUUAUCAAAUCUAGGUAUAGCUCUAACAGUAACACCUUAGCCCUCAUUUAGCUAACCAGAUGCCACAGCAGCACUUUACCUAGCAGUAAAGAUGGAGUUGCCAUGUUGCCCUGUACACCCUGUAAAAUGGAAAACACACAGCACAUCUUAGACUGUAUUUCUCCACAUUCGUCCUGGAAGAAAACUUCUGUCACGAACUUUCAGUAAAGUUUCCCUAAAAAUCUCA